GAUAGAAGCAAUAUGCAUCUCGAUAUUUUGAAAUAUAUUCAAAAUUGUUCAACUACAUUAAAUUAAUGCCAAAAGUAGGAGACCCCGCGAAUAGUUGUGAGGACUAUGCUGAUAAAACUAGGAAUUUUACUUAGGAGCAAAGAUCAUCAAUCCUAAAAUAUUUAUGUGACAAUGUUCAUCCAAUCACCUUGCAACACCUAGAUGUACAUGUACCAAGUCUAAUUCAUGUCACUAUUACAUGCACUUUGAUACACAGACCAUCCAACUUUGAUUCAGGCUUUUUACAUCAUAUGGCUGAUCUAGAUGCUGUUUUAAGAGCACAGUCUGUACUGUUUGUGAUUGAAGAAGAAGUGGAAACAAAGCCAGAAAAUCUGUUGAGUCAUACAGAUAUUCUGUUUAAUAUGUCCCGAAACACAAACUUCAGCGAAGACCUACUUUAGAAAAGAUGCAUGGCAGCUUGUUUUAAAUACUCUCAAAGUAUUAGAAGAUAUGUAUAUUAGUAACACUCCGAAGUAUUAUGAUAAGAUUUCUCCAUGCCAGACAAGAAAAGGCAAAGCUUUAAUAGGUCCAGUUGAAGGAAGAAUAUUCAAAAAGUUUUCAAAAAGGACAUCAGACCAGAUUAAAUCAAGAAAAAGAAGUGUGGACAAUUCUUCAUUAAAAGCUAGGAAAUCCUUUACAAAUGAAGAUAUAGUUUUCCAUUAAAAGCUAGGAAAUCCCUUACAAGUGAAGAUAGUUCUCCAUUAAAAGCUAGGAAAUCCCUUACAAGUGAAGAUAGUUCUCCAUUAAAAGCUAGGAAAUCCCUUACAAGUGAAGAUAGUUCUCCAUUAAAAGCAAUAAAAGGAAUGCCCACCUUUUUAGUUAUAAAAGCAAAAGAAAUGAAAGCUGAAAUUAUAGAGUAUCUGCAGAAUUAUAAGCCAUUUAAAUCAUUGCCAAAAGUUGGAGAUCCUGUUUAACCAUUAUGUUGACAACACUAGAGGCAUAUCUGAGGA
Long non-coding RNA from Mytilus trossulus (common blue mussel), 989 nucleotides. RefSeq lists it as uncharacterized. The transcript is spliced from 6 exons. The record is from RefSeq and is a predicted model, not a curated record. NCBI's taxonomy places the organism in Eukaryota, Metazoa, Mollusca, Bivalvia, Mytilida, Mytilidae.